RNAcentral lists this long non-coding RNA (3501 nucleotides) under Taeniopygia guttata (zebra finch). RNAcentral's name for it is "lncRNA (ENSTGUG00000021590.1)". Lineage: Eukaryota; Metazoa; Chordata; Aves; Passeriformes; Estrildidae. The record is from RNAcentral.
GCUUUCACUUCUUUCUCUGUUUUCCUGCUUUUGUUCCUAUGUUGUCUAUUAUCCUCCUAUAGCAAAGGUACCCAUACAAAUUCUGUACUUACAUUAAUUCUAUUCUAUUCUAUUCUAUUCUAUUCUAUUCUAUUCUAUUCUAUUCUACUCUCAGUAUUAUCUGUAUCCUAAUAUGAAAAACAUGUUAAGACGAAUUUUCUACCACAUCUGUUCUGUGACACUUUGCUCCAGUACCCACAUAACCUCAUAAAAGCCUGGCCCUGCUGUUUUGUGCCUAAAUCAAUGUUACACUAACCCGUUGCAAGGGUCUCCUGCCCAUGACAGGGAAAGCAAAGCACAGAGAGCUGAUUGACUCCCUUGAUCUCUGUUCCAGAGGGAUUUUCUUAGCAGGGAGAGCAGUGGGUUGGCUGGAGAGGGGGAGCAAGUGGUGAGCAGCAGGUGAGGCAGGCUUUCCUCGGCAAGCCACGGGAGCAUCAGCAUCAGCAGCAGGAGAAGAACUUUCCCCUUUGAGACAUAUCAGAAACUUGACUCUCAAUGCAACAAAAACAGUUUCUAGAUUUUUGCAGAGAAGAAAGUGGUGUAAAUUUCAUCUAUAGGUAACAAAUCUAAGAAAUAAAUGUAGCAAAGCAAAGAAAGCCUUUUCUAGUUUCCAGUGCUGUGUGAUUUUCAAGGCAGACGUGGAAAAGUCACAUCUUCUUUUGAAGCCCACGAGACCGAAAAAUUAAACCAGGGGGCUUUGUUAUUGAUGUUUUUCUAAUACGAAUGUUUUGAAAUCCCUGCCUUUCAUGUGUCUCUUACAAAUAAGCAGAAGUGUGUGAUGAGUCAUCUUUGCUUUUAAUUCCUUUAAUAGAUUCUUACCUCACCCGCUAACGUCUAAACAAUUCUUGUUUCUGUAACAAUCCCUUCCUCAGUGGUAAAUAUUGCUCUCAGACAACAUAUUUUUUGGAGGCUCAUUAUGUUCAUUCUGUGGCUGAGACUCAUUAUACUCAGUUAUUUAUUUAAAAGAACAAAAUGACAGCAAAUGCCUGCAUGUAUCAUGUCUUCCUUUACACAUAUAUUAAAUAUAUUUCAGUAACAAGGCCCAGAACUCUCACAGUUUUGAAAAAAGCAGCUGGCUUUCCUUCCUAGCCAUCACUCCUCGAGAAAGGAAUACUGAGAGGUGAUGGUAGAGCCUAACCUUGCCUGCUAAAUGAGAUUCCACUGACACUAAUGGGAAAUUUGGCAAAGACAGGAAAAUAAUUUAUGAACUAUUUGAAUAUUUUCAAUUAUAAAACAAACAAACAAAAAAAACUUGGAGAAUUAUUAAGAAGGAAGAAGCAAAUGAAAAUGCCACUAUAAGGCAUUGUGAAAUGGUAUAUGUGGAAUCAGUCCAAGCAAUAAUUUUGAUACCUAAUGACAAGUUUGAGUCUUCUGAAGUACCAAAGUAUCACCCAUCUCACUGAAGAGCUUGACAAAAAAAGCUUACAACCUUUACACAGAAAAAAGUCUUCAGCCAUUUAAACUGACAUUUCAUUAAUCCAACAUUCAUGGCUUCUGUUCAUGUUCUUCUAAGCCAAACUCCAAGCCUAAAAGCAAUACCCACUUCUGUUCACACCCAACUGCCUCUGGCCCUCAAUAGAGAGGUUCUAACUGGUGCACAGUCAUAGCAAAAGGUUUUUGAGAUUAUGAUCAGCAUAAUUAUACAAAUGGAGUGAGGUUUGUCCUCAGUGAGCUGUAAAAUACAUUUUUAACUAGGCCAUUGAUACAGCAGAGACAAGAUGAAAAACAAGAGAGCAGGGCAAAGGUUUGGCUGUGUGGCCAUUCUGGGAAAUGACUGAAAAACAAGAACAAAGCUAUUCAGAGCAGGUCAUUAAAGAAAGAAAAUAUCUUAAACAAGCCUAAAAGAUAGGAAAUAGAAAUAUGGCAUGGUCGCUUACAAAGCAGAGGUCAAAAAGACAUCAGUAAUUAAUGAGGAAAAGAUAAAGAACCAAGCACUUAAUUUCAAAGAAAUAGUCGGGAAAAGCAUAAUGGCACUAUGAACAGGAAAAAAGUCUUUGCAGAAGUAAAUGGGAAUGAAUAAGAUCUCAAUAGGGGAAAAAUAGAUAAUUGAAAAAGUAGAACUGCAAAUUGCUGCAGAAAUUCACCUGGAACAUAAACCAGUUAUUUAGGCCUAAGGGUGGAAUAUAGUUUUGAAUGGGUCAAUUUUUUUUAAAAGGACCUCCAGGGACACACACUGCCAAUUUUGCUCUGAUAUUUUUCCAUUGCAGUUUUUGUGCAAGGAAAACAUAGGUGAAAAUGUCUACCAUGUUUGAAAGUUUAAAGACUACUUUCUGAAAUGCAGACUAGUGGAUUUUACUUCUGUUUCAUCAAGAGAUUCUAAAAUGAAAGGGGUGGGAAGCAGAAGCCAAGAAAAAUGGAGAACAGCAGAUGUUUUGAAACAGCAGUUUCAACCCUAUUAGCAUCUUCCCUAGUUUUCUCUAUUGUUUUCUGAGCUUCAGCUCAGAUGAGCAAAACUUGAUAAUUAUGGAAUCCUAGAAUGGUCUAGGUUAGAAGUGACCAUAAAUAUAAUCUCGUUCCAAACGCCCUUCCAUGGGCAGGGGCACUUCCACUACACCAGACUGCCCAGAGCUCCAUUCAGCCUGGCCUUGAACACUUCCAGAGAUGAGGCACCCACUAUUUCUUUCAAUGUGUUCCACUGCCUCACCACUCUCACAGUACAAAAUUAUUGCCUAAUAUCUAAUCUAAACCCACCCUCAUAUAGUUUGAAGUCAUUCUCUCUUGUCCUUGUAUAAAGUCUCUUUCCAUCUUUCUUGUAGACUCCCAUCACGUACUAGAAGGCCACAACUAGGUCACCCCUAAGCCUUCUGUUUUCCAGGCUGAACAACAACAAUUCUCUCAGUCUUUCCUCACAGGAGAGGUGUUCCAUCCCUGCAACCAUCUGGGUGACCUCCUCUGGAGUCACUCCAGCAGCUCCGUGUCCUUCCUGUGCUGGCCCCCCAGAGCUGAUGCAGCCCUGCAGGUGGCUCUCAGCAGAGCAGAGCAGAGGGGCAGAAUCCCCUCCCUGGCCCUGCUGCCCAUGCUGCUUUGGAUGCAGCCCAGGACACGUUUGGCUCUCUGGGCUGGGAGUGCCCAUGGCUGGCUCAUGUCCAGCCUCUACCCACAGCAUCCCAAGUCCUUCUGGGCAGGGCUGCUCUGGUCUGUCCAUCCCCAGCCAGUGCUGGUACUGGGGGUUGUCCUCACCCAAAUGCAGUACCUUGAAUUUAGUCUUGUUAAAACUCUUGAGAUUUCCCUGGGCCCACUUCUUGAGUUUUUCCAGGUCCCUCUAGAUGGCAUCCUGUCCUUCAGGUGUUUCAAUGCUCGGCCUGGUGUCAUCUGCAAACUUUGCUGGGGGUGCACGUGAACCAUUUAUCUAUGUAAUCAAUGAAGUUAUUAAAUAACACUGGUCCCAAUACAGACCCUUGAGAGACAUAACUUGUCACUAAUGUCCAUUGUGUCUCUGUGCUGUUGAAUGCAGAUUGUAAA